CUUGCAGGGGCUUCCAUGGGUUCAAGAGAAGUUCCAGUUUUAGGGAGAGAGAGGAAGGACCGGUGGAGUGACCAAAUUGGUUAUAAUACCUCCAGGUCUAACACAUACAACAUGAUUGAAAGACUUGCUAUGGGUUUGAUGCUUGCAGGAUUGAGUAAAUUGCUAUGCACGUUAUAAACAAAUUGAAAUGGGAUUUGGGUCUUAUUCACUGUAUUGUUUGUGGAAGAAAAGAGCUUGCUUUGGCACAAUUGGAGAAAAGGGCAAUGAUAAGAUGUGAUCUGAUUGCAAAUAUACAGAGACAAAGGAAUGGAAUAAGAGGAAGGGGCGGCAGCCGUGGGAGGCAGAGCGACGGCAGAGGAUUGAGUGUGAGCGAUUGUUGCUGGGAAAAUUUCUCUGCUAAUUGUUUUUUUAAUUUCCAAGGAUAAAAUUGGAGUUUCAAAUCUAGCUAGAACAAAAAGUUUAAUUUCUUAUAAAAAUAAUACACAUGGCAAAUUUUGAGUGGAAGUAUCACCAGCUGACGUGGUGAUACC
Molecule: long non-coding RNA, 530 nt
Filed under: Prunus dulcis (almond)
Lineage: Eukaryota; Viridiplantae; Streptophyta; Magnoliopsida; Rosales; Rosaceae
Description: sRNA ncRNA
Source: RNAcentral